CCUACGGGAGGCAGCAGUGGGGGAUAUUGCACAAUGGGGGAAACCCUGAUGCAGCGACGCCGCGUGGGUGAAGAAGCGCCUCGGCGCGUAAAGCCCUGUCAGCAGGGAAGAAAAUGACGGUACCUGAAGAAGAAGCCCCGGCUAACUACGUGCCAGCAGCCGCGGUAAUACGUAGGGGGCAAGCGUUAUCCGGAUUUACUGGGUGUAAAGGGGGCGCAGACGGCGGUGCAAGUCUGGAGUGAAAGCCCGGGGCCCAACCCCGGGACUGCUCUUGGAACUGCGUGGCUAGAGUGCAGGAGGGGUAAGUGGAAUUCCUGGUGUAGCGGUGAAAUGCGUAGAUAUCAGGAGGAACACCAGUGGCGAAGGCGGCUUACUGGACUGCAACUGACGUUGAGGCCCGAAAGCGUGGGGAGCAAACAGGAUUAGAUACCCGAGUAGUC
Molecule: ribosomal RNA, 440 nt
Filed under: uncultured bacterium
Lineage: Bacteria
Description: partial 16S ribosomal RNA
Rfam family: Bacterial small subunit ribosomal RNA
Source: RNAcentral